Molecule: ribosomal RNA, 497 nt
Filed under: uncultured bacterium
Lineage: Bacteria
Description: partial 16S ribosomal RNA
Rfam family: Bacterial small subunit ribosomal RNA
Source: RNAcentral
GAUGAACGCUGGCGGCGUGCCUAAUACAUGCAAGUCGAGCGAACAGACGAGGAGCUUGCUCCUCUGACGUUAGCGGCGGACGGGUGAGUAACACGUGGAUAACCUACCUAUAAGACUGGGAUAACUUCGGGAAACCGGAGCUAAUACCGGAUAAUAUAUUGAACCGCAUGGUUCAAUAGUGAAAGACGGUUUUGCUGUCACUUAUAGAUGGAUCCGCGCCGCAUUAGCUAGUUGGUAAGGUAACGGCUUACCAAGGCAACGAUGCGUAGCCGACCUGAGAGGGUGAUCGGCCACCCUGGAACUGAGACACGGCCCAGACUCCUACGGGAGGCAGCAGUAGGGAAUCUGCCGCAAUGGGCGAAAGCUUGACGGAGCAACGCCGCGUGAGUGAUGAAGGUCUUCGGAUCGUAAAACUCUGUUAUUAGGGAAGAACAAAUGUGUAAGUAACUAUGCACGUCUUGACGGUACCUAAUCAGAAAGCCACGGCUAACUACGUG